Molecule: small RNA, 35 nt
Filed under: Bombyx mori (domestic silkworm)
Lineage: Eukaryota; Metazoa; Arthropoda; Insecta; Lepidoptera; Bombycidae
Description: ovarian small RNA-14045
Source: RNAcentral
CCUGAAAUGUUCUUCUAGUAGGACAACCAGAGUUU